RNAcentral lists this non-coding RNA (542 nucleotides) under Drosophila virilis. RNAcentral describes it as "Eukaryotic large subunit ribosomal RNA". It matches the Rfam family "Eukaryotic large subunit ribosomal RNA", at positions 2118 to 2670 of the family's 3401-position model. Lineage: Eukaryota; Metazoa; Arthropoda; Insecta; Diptera; Drosophilidae. The record is from Rfam by way of RNAcentral.
UAGGAACCGUGAGAUUAAGCCAUCGCGGCAGGUGCUCACGUUAAGCCCACUGACUUUCAUGUCCCUAUCUACUAUCUAGCGAAACCACAGCCAAGGGAACGGGCUUGGAAUAAUUAGCGGGGAAAGAAGACCCUUUUUGAGCUUGACUCUAAUCUGGCAGUGUAAGGAGACAUAAGAGGUGUAGAAUAAGUGGGAGAUAUUAGACUUCGGUUUGGUAUCGACAAUGAAAUACCACUACUCUUAUUGUUUCCUUACUUACUUGAUUAAAUGGAACGUGUAUCAUUUCCUAGCCAUUAUACGGAUAUAAUUAUUAUGUCUUAUGGUAUUGGGUUUUGAUGCAAGCUUCUUGAUCAAAGUAUCACGAGUUUGUUAUAUAAUCGCAAACAAAUUCUUUAAUGAGAGAAUGCAUUUAUGUAUUAUUGAUUUAAAAAUUUGGUAUAACUCCAAUUACUCAGGUAUGAUCCAAUUCAAGGACAUUGCCAGGUAGGGAGUUUGACUGGGGCGGUACAUCUCUCAAAUAAUAACGGAGGUGUCCCAAGGCC